AUCUUCCCCAAAUCUCUCGUCCCUCUCAAUUUUCUGUAAAUCAUAUGUUGAGCAGCCGAAGAAUCAAAUGAGCAAUAUCCCAUCUUCGUUCACGGAUUCCUCCUUCAACCUCUUUACUCUCGCCAUUUCUUCUUCCGAUCCUUGGCCAUUUUCUCUCUGACGCCCUCAAUUUCUUCCUCCGAUCGUCUGUUCUGUUUUGUUUUGAUCUGUUCUGUACUUCCGAUGAAGCAUCAGCACCUUCCGCCGCUGAACUUUCAUCUUCAUUUGCCUCACUUCCAUCACCGGAGCAAGCCGGACACUCCCAAGGGCUGUUUGGCUGUUCUUGUUGGCCAAGAACAAGAGAGGUUCGUGAUUCCUGUCAUUUAUGUCAAUCAUCCGCUGUUCGUGCAGCUCUUGAAGGACGCUGAAGAUGAGUAUGGCUUCGAUCAGAAAGAUUGUGGUGUUUUUGUCAUUUGUUUCUUUUUGUGAAGAUUUGCGUCUCUGUUGAAGCUCAAACAACAUAAUCAGAGCUGUCUGAAAUGGAUUCUGAGUAAUUUUUUAUUAUUCUAGCGAUGGCAGCUAUAACUUCGCUGCACGCGUCUUCUUCAUAUGUAAACUAAUCCAGCUUGAAUAAUGAAAAGUCAAAUUCUAUUAUUAAAAUAAGAAAAAUGGAUUGUGCUUCUUCCA
This is an RNA transcript of Cucurbita moschata (crookneck pumpkin), 666 nucleotides long. It is a transcript of the gene named auxin-responsive protein SAUR32-like, with no coding region annotated. Lineage: Eukaryota; Viridiplantae; Streptophyta; Magnoliopsida; Cucurbitales; Cucurbitaceae. The record is from RefSeq and is a predicted model, not a curated record. The transcript has 2 exons.